AGGGAGAAGCCCAGCACCGAAGCGCCCGUCCCAACGGGGCGGGAGGGCAAUGUGGUGUUUAGGAAUAGCGCGACCGAAGGUUGAUCUAAGCGCAAGUCCUCCUGACUGGGGCUCUCGCCCAUAGAGGGUGCAAGGCCCAUAGUCGCUUAUGAUCUCCGGCGGAAGCAAAAUUCCUUGGAGUCGGGUUGCUUGAGAGUGCAGCCCUAAGUGGGUGGUAAACUCCAUCUAAGGCUAAAUACGACCACGAAACCGAUAGCGAACAAGUACCGUGAGGGAAAGUUGAAAAGAACUUUGAAGAGAGAGUUCAAGAGUGCGUGAAACCGUUUAGAGGUAAACGGGUGGGCCCUCGAAGGUGAUCGUCGGAGGGAUUCAGUCGGACGUGACCGUAAGCGUCGUUCGUCUCUAACGGUGCGGACCUCGGUCGGCCGGGCGGGCGAAGGCUGCGGGCCGUUUGGCGCAUUUCCUUCCGUUCGAACUACGCUGCGACCAGUCUGGUCACUGAAAGUUGUCGUCCUUGAAAACGGGCGAUGGAAGGUGGCCGGCGGCGUCCCUCGGGAUGCCGUCGGUGUUUAUAGCCGGUUCGUUUCACGAGUGAGCGUUCAUCAGACUGGGGACGAUUCUAGCCCUGUGCGGGCUACGCCGAGCACUCCGUUCCACGGAGCGUUGCGGGGUGACUGGAUGCGCCUGCGGUCGGGAGUUUCACCUUUGCGUGGGCUACCGCCGUAGGUCUCCGUAAGCUCAUUCCGUACUCGCCGUUGCGGGCCCGUCCCGGUCGCCUCGUCGACGGGGCGGAGCAAGAGCGUACACGUUGGGACCCGAAAGAUGGUGAACUAUGCCUGGGCAGGACGAAGCCAGAGGAAACUCUGGUGGAGGUCCGCAGCGAUUCUGACGUGCAAAUCGAUCGUCAGACCUGGGUAUAGGGGCGAAAGACUAAUCGAACCAUCUAGUAGCUGGUUCCCUCCGAAGUUUCCCUCAGGAUAGCUGGCGCUCGGAGGAUGCAGUCUCAUCCGGUAAAGCGAAUGAUUAGAGGCCUUGGGGUCGAAAAGACCUCAACCUAUUCUCAAACUUUAAAUGGGUGAGAAGUCCGGUUUGCUCGACUGAAGCCCGGACGGCAACUUGGAUGCGAGUGGUGGGAUGAACCAAACGCCGGGUUAAGGGGCCCGAUGCGAGACGCUCAUGAGAUCCCAUGAAAGGUGUUGGUUGCUAUAGACAGCAGGACGGUGGCCAUGGAAGUCGGAAUCCGCUAAGGAGUGUGUAACAACUCACCUGCCGAAGCAACUAGCCCUGAAAAUGGAUGGCGCUUCAGCGUCGACCCCAUACCCGGCCGCCGCGGCCGAAAAGCCUCGUGUUUUAAGCCGCGGUGAGUAGGAGGGGCGCGGAGGCGAGCGUCGAAGGUGCCGGGCGUAAGCCCGCCUGGAGCCGCCUCCGGCGCAGAUCUUGGUGGUAGUAGCAAAUACUCAAGUGAGAACCUUGAGGACUGAGGUGGAGAAGGGUUCCAUGUGAACAGCAGUUGAACAUGGGUCAGUCGGUCCUAAGGGAUAGGAGAAAUCCGUUCCGAGGCGGGACCUCUUAUUACGAAAGUCCCGCUGAUGACCGAAAGGGAAUCGGGUUAAUAUUCCCGAACCCGGACGCGGAGAUCGUCCUCUUCGGAGGUACAUUGCGGUAACGCAAACGAGCUCGGAGACGUCGACGGGAGCACCGGGAAGAGUUAUCUUUUCUUUGUAAGGAUUCGACUCCCUGGAAUCGGCUCGCCCGGAGAUAGGGAUGGUGUUUCCGUAAAGCACCGCGCGUCUUGCGGUGUCCGGAUCGCUCCCGUCGGCCCUUGAAAU
RNAcentral lists this ribosomal RNA (1829 nucleotides) under Pantopsalis listeri. RNAcentral's name for it is "eukaryotic LSU rRNA". It matches the Rfam family "Eukaryotic large subunit ribosomal RNA", at positions 99 to 1811 of the family's 3401-position model. Lineage: Eukaryota; Metazoa; Arthropoda; Arachnida; Opiliones; Neopilionidae. The record is from RNAcentral.